CCUACGGGAGGCAGCAGUAGGGAAUCUUCCGCAAUGGACGAAAGUCUGACGGAGCAACGCCGCGUGAACGAUGAAGGCCUUCGGGUCGUAAAGUUCUGUUGUUAGGGAAGAACAAGCGCUAGUUGAAUAAGCUGGCACCUUGACGGUACCUAACCAGAAAGCCACGGCUAACUACGUGCCAGCAGCCGCGGUAAUACGUAGGUGGCAAGCGUUGUCCGGAAUUAUUGGGCGUAAAGCGCGCGCAGGCGGUUUCUUAAGUCUGAUGUGAAAGCCCCCGGCUCAACCGGGGAGGGUCAUUGGAAACUGGGAAACUUGAGUGCAGAAGAGGAAAGUGGAAUUCCAAGUGUAGCGGUGAAAUGCGUAGAGAUUUGGAGGAACACCAGUGGCGAAGGCGACUUUCUGGUCUGUAACUGACGCUGAGGCGCGAAAGCGUGGGGAGCAAACAGGAUUAGAUACCCUGGUAGUCCACGCUGUAAACGAUGAGUGCUAAGUGUUAGAGGGUUUCCGCCCUUUAGUGCUGAAGUUAACGCAUUAAGCACUCCGCCUGGGGAGUACCGGUCGCAAGACUGAAACUUAAAUGAAUUGACGGCUGAGAGNGCGAGCGACGACGAGGGAGAGG
RNAcentral lists this ribosomal RNA (619 nucleotides) under uncultured bacterium. RNAcentral's name for it is "bacterial SSU rRNA". It matches the Rfam family "Bacterial small subunit ribosomal RNA", at positions 338 to 946 of the family's 1533-position model. The record is from RNAcentral.